RNAcentral lists this ribosomal RNA (1710 nucleotides) under Staphylococcus aureus. Its description in RNAcentral is "partial 23S ribosomal RNA". It matches the Rfam family "Bacterial large subunit ribosomal RNA", at positions 1216 to 2925 of the family's 2925-position model. Lineage: Bacteria; Bacillati; Bacillota; Bacilli; Caryophanales; Staphylococcaceae. RNAcentral also lists the same sequence under 1 other name. The record is from RNAcentral.
CUUUGGACAAUGGUAGGAGAGCGUUCUAAGGGCGUUGAAGCAUGAUCGUAAGGACAUGUGGAGCGCUUAGAAGUGAGAAUGCCGGUGUGAGUAGCGAAAGACGGGUGAGAAUCCCGUCCACCGAUUGACUAAGGUUUCCAGAGGAAGGCUCGUCCGCUCUGGGUUAGUCGGGUCCUAAGCUGAGGCCGACAGGCGUAGGCGAUGGAUAACAGGUUGAUAUUCCUGUACCACCUAUAAUCGUUUUAAUCGAUGGGGGGACGCAGUAGGAUAGGCGAAGCGUGCGAUUGGAUUGCACGUCUAAGCAGUAAGGCUGAGUAUUAGGCAAAUCCGGUACUCGUUAAGGCUGAGCUGUGAUGGGGAGAAGACAUUGUGUCUUCGAGUCGUUGAUUUCACACUGCCGAGAAAAGCCUCUAGAUAGAAAAUAGGUGCCCGUACCGCAAACCGACACAGGUAGUCAAGAUGAGAAUUCUAAGGUGAGCGAGCGAACUCUCGUUAAGGAACUCGGCAAAAUGACCCCGUAACUUCGGGAGAAGGGGUGCUCUUUAGGGUUAACGCCCAGAAGAGCCGCAGUGAAUAGGCCCAAGCGACUGUUUAUCAAAAACACAGGUCUCUGCUAAACCGUAAGGUGAUGUAUAGGGGCUGACGCCUGCCCGGUGCUGGAAGGUUAAGAGGAGUGGUUAGCUUCUGCGAAGCUACGAAUCGAAGCCCCAGUAAACGGCGGCCGUAACUAUAACGGUCCUAAGGUAGCGAAAUUCCUUGUCGGGUAAGUUCCGACCCGCACGAAAGGCGUAACGAUUUGGGCACUGUCUCAACGAGAGACUCGGUGAAAUCAUAGUACCUGUGAAGAUGCAGGUUACCCGCGACAGGACGGAAAGACCCCGUGGAGCUUUACUGUAGCCUGAUAUUGAAAUUCGGCACAGCUUGUACAGGAUAGGUAGGAGCCUUUGAAACGUGAGCGCUAGCUUACGUGGAGGCGCUGGUGGGAUACUACCCUAGCUGUGUUGGCUUUCUAACCCGCACCACUUAUCGUGGUGGGAGACAGUGUCAGGCGGGCAGUUUGACUGGGGCGGUCGCCUCCUAAAAGGUAACGGAGGCGCUCAAAGGUUCCCUCAGAAUGGUUGGAAAUCAUUCAUAGAGUGUAAAGGCAUAAGGGAGCUUGACUGCGAGACCUACAAGUCGAGCAGGGUCGAAAGACGGACUUAGUGAUCCGGUGGUUCCGCAUGGAAGGGCCAUCGCUCAACGGAUAAAAGCUACCCCGGGGAUAACAGGCUUAUCUCCCCCAAGAGUUCACAUCGACGGGGAGGUUUGGCACCUCGAUGUCGGCUCAUCGCAUCCUGGGGCUGUAGUCGGUCCCAAGGGUUGGGCUGUUCGCCCAUUAAAGCGGUACGCGAGCUGGGUUCAGAACGUCGUGAGACAGUUCGGUCCCUAUCCGUCGUGGGCGUAGGAAAUUUGAGAGGAGCUGUCCUUAGUACGAGAGGACCGGGAUGGACAUACCUCUGGUGUACCAGUUGUCGUGCCAACGGCAUAGCUGGGUAGCUAUGUGUGGACGGGAUAAGUGCUGAAAGCAUCUAAGCAUGAAGCCCCCCUCAAGAUGAGAUUUCCCAACUUCGGUUAUAAGAUCCCUCAAAGAUGAUGAGGUUAAUAGGUUCGAGGUGGAAGCAUGGUGACAUGUGGAGCUGACGAAUACUAAUCGAUCGAAGACUUAAUCAA